UACAGAGGGUGCAAGCGUUGUUCGGAAUUAUUGGGCGUAAAGGGCGCGUAGGCGGCCGCGUAUGUCCGGUGUGAAAGCCCACCUCUUAAAGGUGGAAUUGCAUCGGAAACUACGUGGCUGGAGUGUCGGAGAGGAUGGUGGAAUUCCUGGUGUAGAGGUGAAAUUCGUAGAUAUCAGGAGGAACACCGGUGGCGAAGGCGGCCAUCUGGACGACUACUGACGCUGAGGCGCGAAAGCGUGGGGAUCAAAC
RNAcentral lists this ribosomal RNA (250 nucleotides) under uncultured bacterium. RNAcentral describes it as "partial 16S ribosomal RNA". It matches the Rfam family "Bacterial small subunit ribosomal RNA", at positions 524 to 773 of the family's 1533-position model. The record is from RNAcentral.